Molecule: ribosomal RNA, 253 nt
Filed under: uncultured bacterium
Lineage: Bacteria
Description: partial 16S ribosomal RNA
Rfam family: Bacterial small subunit ribosomal RNA
Source: RNAcentral
UACGUAGGUGUCGAGCGUUGUCCGGAAUUAUUGGGCGUAAAGAGCUCGUAGGCGGUUUGUCGCGUCUGCUGUGAAAACUCAGGGCUUAACCCUGAGCCUGCAGUGGGUACGGGCAGACUAGAGUGUGGUAGGGGAGAUCGGAAUUCCUGGUGUAGCGGUGGAAUGCGCAGAUAUCAGGAGGAACACCGGUGGCGAAGGCGGAUCUCUGGGCCAUAACUGACGCUGAGGAGCGAAAGCAUGGGGAGCGAACAGG